Molecule: microRNA precursor, 107 nt
Filed under: Punica granatum (pomegranate)
Lineage: Eukaryota; Viridiplantae; Streptophyta; Magnoliopsida; Myrtales; Lythraceae
Source: RNAcentral
CGAUGGUGGAGGUAUUGGCGCGUCUCAAUUGAAGGACGUGGUUGAAUACGACGGGAAGGUGGAGCCAUGUAAUUCGAUUGAGCCGCGUCAAUAUCUCCUUUUCUUGA